GACGAACGCUGGCGGCGUGCUUAACACAUGCAAGUCGAACGGAAAGGCCCUGCUUUUGUGGGGUGCUCGAGUGGCGAACGGGUGAGUAACACGUGAGUAACCUGCCCUUGACUUUGGGAUAACUUCAGGAAACUGGGGCUAAUACCGGAUAGGAGCUCCUGCUGCAUGGUGGGGGUUGGAAAGUUUCGGCGGUUGGGGAUGGACUCGCGGCUUAUCAGCUUGUUGGUGGGGUAGUGGCUUACCAAGGCUUUGACGGGUAGCCGGCCUGAGAGGGUGACCGGCCACAUUGGGACUGGGAUACGGCCCAGACUCCUACGGGGGGCAGCAGUGGGGAAUAUUGCACAAUGGGCGGAAGCCUGAUGCAGCAACGCCGCGUGCGGGAUGACGGCCUUCGGGUGGUAAACCGCUUUCGCCUGUGACGAAGCGUGAGUGACGGUAAUGGGGAAAGAAGCACCGGCUAACUACGU
This 467-nucleotide ribosomal RNA is filed under the name uncultured bacterium. RNAcentral's name for it is "partial 16S ribosomal RNA". It matches the Rfam family "Bacterial small subunit ribosomal RNA", at positions 28 to 506 of the family's 1533-position model. The record is from RNAcentral.